UACAGAGGCCACGAGCGUUAGGCGGAAUCACUGGGCUUAAAGCGUGUGUAGGUGGAUGGGUAAGUACCUUGUGAAAUCCCACGGCUCAACCGUGGAACUGCUUGGUAUACUGCCUGUCUUGAGGCACUCGAGGGGCGAGCGGAACAAAUGGUGGAGCGGUGAAAUGCGCAGAUAUCAGGAGGAACACCGGUGGCGAAGGCGGGUCUCUGGGCCGUAACUGACGCUGAGGAGCGAAAGUGUGGGGAGCGAACAGG
This 254-nucleotide ribosomal RNA is filed under the name uncultured bacterium. RNAcentral's name for it is "partial 16S ribosomal RNA". It matches the Rfam family "Bacterial small subunit ribosomal RNA", at positions 524 to 776 of the family's 1533-position model. The record is from RNAcentral.